UGCCCUGGAAAAUGAAAAAUGAAAUAACACAGCUCACUAUGUGCUACACAAGCAAGACACUGAGAAAAAGCAUAAAUUCCAGGACACAGACUUCGUCUCCCACACAGACUCCAACUUAGUUACGGAUCAAUCUCCGAAUCAAAUACAAAUCAAUCUCCGAAUCAAAUAUAGAACAUAUUAAUAUAUACAGCGAUGAGACUUCUUCACCAAAAGAAACCUUAAUAUAUACAACAAUAAGACUUCUUCACCAAAAGAAUCUGGCAAGUCAGGGACAUCAGGCAUUGUCCAGUUUCAAUCUGUCAGGUUCUCUGACAGGGCAGGAACAUCAAACAGGGCAGGGACAUCAAGCAGAUUCGUGCAGUAUUAAUCUGUCAGUUCACAAGUUGCAAUGAUGUACAAAGCUUUAAGUGAAAUUAGGCCAGGAAAGGAGCUAUGGAAAAUCAAAGCAAGGGUAACAAGACUAUGGGAUGCUAUCUUGCUCAGUAGUGGUGAACUUUUAAGUGUUGACAUGAUCCUUAUUGAUGAAGAGGUAAAAAGAUUCUUCAUUGUAAUUAAAAGUUAUUUGUAGUUUAUUUCAGUUUACAAGCUAAUGAUGAUGACAAUCUAGGGUACCAUGGUGCACGGAGUUAUCAAUAAGACAGUUAUGGAAAAAUUCAAAUCUUUGAUUCAAGAAAAUAAUGUUUACGUCAUAUCGAAUGUUAAAGUGACACCAGCAACGAAAACAUAUCGACCAGUGGAAAACGACAAGGUAGUGAACUUCUUGACCACAACUACUAUGCAGAAGAUCAAAGAUAUAGAUGAGAUUCCAAGAUAUAGUUUCAAGUUCUUCAACACAGAUAUGCUUUUCAAAAGAAUCAACAACGACACUUACCUGUCAGAUGUUAUAGGAGUUGCAUCAUACAUUGGUCCAGUUGAAGAAACCAAGACACAAUUUGGAGUAUCCAAAAUCCGUGAUAUUGUGCUCCUAAUCGAUGAUCAAGAAAUCAAAGUUAGAUUGUGGAAUUCCAAAGUUGACCAAGUCGAUGCUAAGUCAAAAUCUCAUGUCAUCGUAAUAACAUCUACAACCGUGAAGAAAUUUGGCAGUAAGUCUCCAUAAUAUCAGUCAUUUAAUUUUGGAUAAGCAUAAUAGUACAAAGUAAAUAAUUGAGAUAUUUGCAAGAUAUUCUCUAUCAUCAACCAACGCAACACAAGUUUUUAUAGAUUUACCUAUUCCUGAAGCUAUGGAUGUACAAAACAGUAUAUGUUCUAUUGAAAAUGUUACCAAAGAGAUACAUACAGAGGGCCAUCUAAAAGGGACAUUGGAGGAGCAAAUGCAGUACAAUAGAAGAACUUUGGAAGAAUUAAAUUUGAUUCUGUUCGACUCAUCAAAUGAGGAAAAGAUAUUUACCGUUGAAGCAACAAUUAAUGCAGUUAGUGCAAAAUAUGGUUGGUACUA
Long non-coding RNA from Phragmites australis (common reed), 1435 nucleotides. RefSeq lists it as uncharacterized. The transcript has 6 exons. Lineage: Eukaryota; Viridiplantae; Streptophyta; Magnoliopsida; Poales; Poaceae. The record is from RefSeq and is a predicted model, not a curated record.